Molecule: signal recognition particle RNA, 299 nt
Filed under: Aotus nancymaae (Ma's night monkey)
Lineage: Eukaryota; Metazoa; Chordata; Mammalia; Primates; Aotidae
Description: Metazoan signal recognition particle RNA (ENSANAG00000012293.1)
Rfam family: Metazoan signal recognition particle RNA
About the family: The signal recognition particle (SRP) is a universally conserved ribonucleoprotein. It is involved in the co-translational targeting of proteins to membranes. The eukaryotic SRP consists of a 300-nucleotide 7S RNA and six proteins: SRPs 72, 68, 54, 19, 14, and 9.
Source: RNAcentral
GUCGGUCGCAGUGGUGUGUGCCUGUAGUCCCAGCUACUCUGGAGGCUGAGGUGGGAGGAUCGCUUGAGCCCAGGAGUUCUGGGCUGUAAUGCACUAUGCCUAUCGGGUGUCCACACUAAGUUCAGCAUCAAUAUGGUGACCUCCUGGGAGCAGGGGACCACCAGUUUGCCUAAGGAGGGGUGAACCGGCCCAGGUCGGAAACGGAGCAAGUCAAAACUCCCAUGCUGAUCAGUAGUGGGAUCGCGCCUGUGAAUAGCCACUGCAUUCCAGCCUGGGCAACAUAGCGAGACCCUGUCUCU